RNAcentral lists this ribosomal RNA (254 nucleotides) under uncultured bacterium. Its description in RNAcentral is "partial 16S ribosomal RNA". It matches the Rfam family "Bacterial small subunit ribosomal RNA", at positions 524 to 776 of the family's 1533-position model. The record is from RNAcentral.
UACGGAGGGGGCUAGCGUUGUUCGGAAUUACUGGGCGUAAAGAGCUCGUAGGCGGCUUGUCGCGUCGACUGUGAAAACCCGCGGCUCAACCGCGGGCUUGCAGUCGAUACGGGCAGGCUAGAGUUUGGUAGGGGGAGACUGGAAUUCCUGGUGUAGCGGUGAAAUGCGCAGAUAUCAGGAGGAACACCGGUGGCGAAGGCGGGUCUCUGGGCCAAUACUGACGCUGAGGAGCGAAAGCGUGGGGAGCGAACAGG